RNAcentral lists this ribosomal RNA (896 nucleotides) under uncultured organism. RNAcentral describes it as "bacterial SSU rRNA". It matches the Rfam family "Bacterial small subunit ribosomal RNA", at positions 9 to 942 of the family's 1533-position model. The record is from RNAcentral.
GAGUUGAUCCUGGCUCCGCCUGAACGCUGGCGGCAUGGCUAAAACAUGCAAGUCGUGGGAGAAGCACCUUCGGGUGUGGACACCGGCGAAAGGGCGAGUAACGCGAUCGAACGUACCCCGAGGUGGGGGAUAGCGUCGGGAAACCGGCGGUAAUACCCCAUGUGCUCUAUUGAGGAAAGCUCCGGCGCCUUGGGAGCGGCGAUCGUCCUAUCAGGUUGUUGGUGAGGUAACGGCUCACCAAGCCGAAGACGGGUAGCGGGUGUGAGAGCAUGACCCGCCGCAUCGGGACUGAGACACUGCCCGGACUCCUACGGGAGGCUGCAGUAACGAAUCUUCCGCAAUGCACGCAAGUGUGACGGAGCAAUGCCGCGUGUGGGAUGAAGCGGUUCCGCCGUGUAAACCACUGUCAGGGUCUAGGAAGAACUGACCAGACCCAGAGGAAGGGCCGGCUAAUCUCGUGCCAGCAGCCGCGGUAAGACAAGAGGCCCAAGCGUUAGGCGGAUUCACUGGGCUUAAAGGGUGCGUAGGCGGAUUGGCAAGCAUCUCGUGAAAUCCCUCGGCUCAACCGAGGAAUUGCGGGGUGAACUGCCUGUCUUGAGGAAGGCAGAGGCUGUCGGAACGUUCGGUGGAGCGGUGAAAUGCGUAGAUAUCGAACGGAACGCCGAAGGGGUAGCCAGGCAGCUGGGCCUUACCUGACGCUGAGGCACGAAAGCGUGGGGAUCAAACAGGAUUAGAUACCCUGGUAGUCCACGCCGUAAACGAUGUGCACUAGCUCGAUGCAGAUCUGACUCUGUGUCGGGCGCCGAGAAAUCAUUAAGUGCACCGNCUGGGGAGUACGGUCGCAAGGCUAAAACUCAAAGGAAUUGACGGGGGCUCACACAAGCGGUGGAGCAUGU